Molecule: ribosomal RNA, 530 nt
Filed under: uncultured bacterium
Lineage: Bacteria
Description: bacterial SSU rRNA
Rfam family: Bacterial small subunit ribosomal RNA
Source: RNAcentral
ACGUAAUAGAUACCCGGGUAGUCCACGCGGUAAACGAUGGAUACUAGGUGUAGCAGGCUUCGACCCCUGCUGUGCCGUAGCAAAAACGCAAUAAGUAUCCCGCCUGGGGAGUAUGGCCGCAAGGUUGAAACUCAAAGGAAUUGACGGGGGCCCGCACAAGCGGUGGAGGAUGUGGUUUAAAUUCGACGCAACGCGAAGAACCUUACCAAGGCUUGACAUCCACUGAAUCUAUUGGAAACAGUAGAGUGCCCGAAAGGGAGCAGUGAGACAGGUGGUGCAUGGCUGUCGUCAGCUCGUGUCGUGAGAUGUUGGGUUAAAGUCCCGCAACGAGCGCAACCCUCGAUGCUAGUUACCAUCAUUAAGUUGGGGACUCUAGCGUGACUGCCGGUGAUAAGCCGGAGGAAGGUGAGGACGACGUCAAGUCAUCAUGCCCCUUACGUCUUGGGCUACACACGUCCUACAAUGGCAUAGACAAAGGGCAGCAAGAUCGCGAGGUUGAGCGAAUCCCAUAAACUAUGUCUCAGUUCGGA